UACGUAGGUGGCAAGCGUUGUCCGGAAUUAUUGGGCGUAAAGCGUCUGUAGGUGGUUUCUAAAGUCUUCUGUUAAAGAUCCGGGCUUAACCCAGUAAAAGCAGUAGAAACUUAGAAGCUAGAGUACGGUAGGGGCAGAGGGAACUCCCGGUGUAGCGGUGAAAUGCGUAGAUAUCGGGAAGAACACCGAUGGCGAAAGCGCUCUGCUGGGCCGAAACUGACACUGAGAGACGAAAGCUAGGGGAGCGAAAGGG
Molecule: ribosomal RNA, 253 nt
Filed under: uncultured bacterium
Lineage: Bacteria
Description: partial 16S ribosomal RNA
Rfam family: Bacterial small subunit ribosomal RNA
Source: RNAcentral